RNAcentral lists this unclassified non-coding RNA (346 nucleotides) under soil metagenome. RNAcentral's name for it is "partial contains 5.8S ribosomal RNA, internal transcribed spacer 2, and large subunit ribosomal RNA". The stretch from base 1 to 119 matches the Rfam family "5.8S ribosomal RNA", at positions 35 to 154 of the family's 154-position model. The record is from RNAcentral.
GAUGAAGGACGCAGCGAAAUGCGAUACGUAAUGUGAAUUGCAAAUUCAGUGAAUCAUCGAGUCUUUGAACGCACAUUGCGCCCCCUGGUAUUCCGGGGGGCAUGCCUGUCCGAGCGUCAUUGCUGCCCUCAAGCACGGCUUGUGUGUUGGGCCCCGUCCUCCGAUCCCGGGGGACGGGCCCGAAAGGCAGCGGCGGCACCGCGUCCGGUCCUCGAGCGUAUGGGGCUUUGUCACCCGCUCUGUAGGCCCGGCCGGCGCUUGCCGAUCAACCCAAAUUUUUUAUCCAGGUUGACCUCGGAUCAGGUAGGGAUACCCGCUGAACUUAAGCAUAUCAAUAAGCGGAGGA